GGAAAGGCGCGCGAUACAGGGUGACAGCCCCGUACACAAAAAUGCACAUGCUGUGAGCUCGAUGAGUAGGGCGGGACACGUGGUAUCCUGUCUGAAUAUGGGGGGACCAUCCUCCAAGGCUAAAUACUCCUGACUGACCGAUAGUGAACCAGUACCGUGAGGGAAAGGCGAAAAGAACCCCGGCGAGGGGAGUGAAAAAGAACCUGAAACCGUGUACGUACAAGCAGUGGGAGCCUCUUUUAUGGGGUGACUGCGUACCUUUUGUAUAAUGGGUCAGCGACUUAUAUUCUGUAGCAAGGUUAACCGAAUAGGGGAGCCGAAGGGAAACCGAGUCUUAACUGGGCGUUAAGUUGCAGGGUAUAGACCCGAAACCCGGUGAUCUAGCCAUGGGCAGGUUGAAGGUUGGGUAACACUAACUGGAGGACCGAACCGACUAAUGUUGAAAAAUUAGCGGAUGACUUGUGGCUGGGGGUGAAAGGCCAAUCAAACCGGGAGAUAGCUGGUUCUCCCCGAAAGCUAUUUAGGUAGCGCCUCGUGAAUUCAUCUCCGGGGGUAGAGCACUGUUUCGGCAAGGGGGUCAUCCCGACUUACCAACCCGAUGCAAACUGCGAAUACCGGAGAAUGUUAUCACGGGAGACACACGGCGGGUGCUAACGUCCGUCGUGAAGAGGGAAACAACCCAGACCGCCAGCUAAGGUCCCAAAGUCAUGGUUAAGUGGGAAACGAUGUGGGAAGGCCCAGACAGCCAGGAUGUUGGCUUAGAAGCAGCCAUCAUUUAAAGAAAGCGUAAUAGCUCACUGGUCGAGUCGGCCUGCGCGGAAGAUGUAACGGGGCUAAACCAUGCACCGAAGCUGCGGCAGCGACACUAUGUGUUGUUGGGUA
RNAcentral lists this ribosomal RNA (882 nucleotides) under Escherichia coli. RNAcentral's name for it is "partial 23S ribosomal RNA". It matches the Rfam family "Bacterial large subunit ribosomal RNA", at positions 344 to 1230 of the family's 2925-position model. Lineage: Bacteria; Pseudomonadati; Pseudomonadota; Gammaproteobacteria; Enterobacterales; Enterobacteriaceae. The record is from RNAcentral.